Molecule: transfer RNA, 91 nt
Filed under: Streptomyces inusitatus
Lineage: Bacteria; Bacillati; Actinomycetota; Actinomycetes; Kitasatosporales; Streptomycetaceae
Description: tRNA-Ser
Source: RNAcentral
CGGGCCGGUGCCGAGGCGGGUGGCGGCGCUGCUGGAGCCGGCCCCGGCCGUACGGAGGUGGCCGUCGGUGUUCAGUACGGCCGGCCUGGCC